ACGCUAAGAGGUGGGAAAGGUACCCCACGCGCCCUAGAGGUUAACUAGCGGUUAAAAAGAGAUGCGGGAUACGCCGACCCGCCUUAGCGU
RNAcentral lists this non-coding RNA (90 nucleotides) under unclassified sequences. Its description in RNAcentral is "skipping-rope RNA". It matches the Rfam family "skipping-rope RNA". From Rfam's summary of the family: Firmicutes, Fusobacteria, AlphaProteobacteria, Spirochaetes. The record is from Rfam by way of RNAcentral.